This 427-nucleotide ribosomal RNA is filed under the name uncultured bacterium. RNAcentral's name for it is "partial 16S ribosomal RNA". It matches the Rfam family "Bacterial small subunit ribosomal RNA", at positions 354 to 796 of the family's 1533-position model. The record is from RNAcentral.
GUGGGGAAUAUUGGGCAAUGGGGGAAACCCUGACCCAGCGACGCCGCGUGAGGGAAGAAGGCCUUAGGGUCGUAAACCUCUGUUGUGUGGGAAGAAGAGCGUGACGGUACCACACGAGGAAGUCCCGGCUAACUACGUGCCAGCAGCCGCGGUAAUACGUAGGGGACGAGCGUUGUCCGGAAUUACUGGGCGUAAAGGGCGCGUAGGCGGUCAUUUAAGUCAGCUGUGAAAUGGUCCGGCUCAACCGGAUCAUGCGGUUGAAACUGGAUGACUGGAGUGCUGGAGAGGCAAGUGGAAUUCCCAGUGUAGCGGUGAAAUGCGUAGAUAUUGGGAAGAACACCGGUGGCGAAGGCGACUUGCUGGCCAGCAACUGACGCUGAGGCGCGAAAGCCAGGGGAGCAAACGGGAUUAGAAACCCUUGUAGUCC